Long non-coding RNA from Cyprinus carpio carpio, 2032 nucleotides. NCBI's taxonomy places the organism in Eukaryota, Metazoa, Chordata, Actinopteri, Cypriniformes, Cyprinidae. The record is from Ensembl.
CUUAACUCUUAUCCUACACCUUUUAUAUUUCAAGGUGUUCCUGUAUUUUUUCAAGAAGUCGCUUGUGCGAACAAGGUCAAACGGAAGUAAAGAUACACUGCUUCAACGAGCACUUCCGGUAAUCAAUUUCGCUACGAUAAAGACUUAUAAAGUGGAGCAAUAAUCGGAUGAAAGCUACAAUAGCCACUGUUUGUUUGCAGUUUUAUCUUUUUAUUUUUAAACAAGCGUGAAAUGGUUAAAAAGACGCAGAGUAGUUCGGAUGCACAGACGAAUUUGCAUUUCUUUAAAGAUCUAGAUCCUCGGUGUGUCUCAUUUUAUAAAUCGAACCGCACCGCUUAAAAAACUGGCUGGUAAUUGACUACAAAACACGAGGAUAAGCCACUGAUCACCAGAAGAUGCGUUAAUUGCUCCGUGCGGUUUGAUGCUUCGAGAGACACAUCUGUCUGCUGAGAUUUCAGGCCGUCUUGGGGAAGGGCGUAUGGUGUAGCUGUGAUUACGCCACGAGCAGAUCCCUGUGGCGCGGCUCCAGCCCAACGGCCUGCACAAGAAUCCCUCUCCUUGCAUUUUUCAUGAGAGAGAGCAGGCCUUCUGCAUGCAGUAUUCAUGACCGCUCUUGCGUCUUCCGAACAAAGCCUGACAUAUCACUGGAUAUGCCACAAUGACACAACUAGCUGUCAGUGUGGUAAAGGUGGGUGAUGACCUGUUAACCCGGCGCUGGGUUCGGUAGCUCGCGAACACAGGGUUCUGUUUUCUUUCACUUUCGUGACAGUUAUGGAUGCCGGUUCGACCGACAGUAUCUGUUUGCAGAUCUCUGAAUCAGAUGGUUUGACUGCGUCCAUUAGUGUCUCUCUGCUGCAAAUGAACUUUAAUGGACACAUUCAGUAGUGUUCAGUACUGAUUAUUUGAGUGUCUUCCUAAAGUUAUGACUUUGUUGGCUACAAAAAACAAUUUAUUUCAUCAUAUGUACAUACACACACCAUUAGAGUCUGACUGUAUUUACUCAAUAAAUAUAAAUAUAUAAUAAAUAUAAAAAAUUAUAGAUUUAUCAAAUAAAUACAUAUAAAUACAUAUUUAUUUUUUAUUUUAUUUUAUUUUACAUUUCUAUUUUAGAUUUUUUUUUAUUCUAUUCUACUUUAAGUUGGUAAGCCCUUGAGUUAGUUAAUUAGGACAAAGAUAAUACUCUGUAAAAAUAAUUUGUAAAUCAAAUAUCACCAAAGUAUGUUUUUCAAGACAAUACUAUUUCAGUGUAAUUUCAUGUUUAAUUCAAUGUGUUACUUGCCUUAUCUUUGUACUUCUUUGUGAAAUUUACUAGCAGUUUCUGAGUAAAAAUAUAAGUCGACCCCAGGACAUGGAAUAGCUUGUUCUUUAAUCCCUUUUCUGAUGACCGGUGUCAUAAAGUGAUCUUGUAAUAUCGCAAAAGACUCCAAACACACAAAGCCAUUGAGAUUAAUAGCCUCAAAUAUCUGAUCACGACCCCCGUUUGAAAUUGCUCGAGGCAGAAAAUGUAAACCCAUUAAAACGUCCAAAUCCAGCCAAAGUAAUUGCCCUGGUAAAGCAUAGAUGCACUGAGUUGGUCUGCUUAAGCAGGUUUUGAGUGUGUGUUUGGUCCAGAUGAGCACAGAUUACUCAUACGUCGGUGUAGCAUGACUUCCUAAAGGGAUCGGGAUGUUCUAGUUGAGCGGAGUGAAUCUGGUUAUGACAGAUCUGUUGACGUGACCUUCUGUGCGUCUCUGAGGGUCUCUGUCCUGUCAGCGAUGGGUAUCACACACAAGAACAGACUCUGAGAAUGGAAACAAGGCACGCUCUCAAGCGCUGUAAGUGCCAGGGAGUCGUCUUACAAGAAACACUUAUUGCGUUUAGUAUUGAGCAUGAUGUUAUGAAAAAUUCAUAGUGGGAUUGUGCUGUUUGCAUUGUCCUGAGAGUGUGUGAGUGAAAGUGAGAAAACUGGAAAAGAUCAGGCCGGAUACUCUCAGAGACGGUUCAGUAUAUACGCUGGUUCCAACACAGCGUUAUAUCACGGCCAGUUUAUCCU